CCUACGGGGGGCUGCAGUGGGGAAUAUUGGGCAAUGGGCGCAAGCCUGACCCAGCAACGCCGCGUGAAGGAAGAAGGCCCUCGGGUUGUAAACUUCUUUUAUCAGGGACGAAACAAAUGACGGUACCUGAUGAAUAAGCCACGGCUAACUACGUGCCAGCAGCCGCGGUAAUACGUAGGGGGCAAGCGUUAUCCGGAUUUACUGGGUGUAAAGGGAGCGUAGGCGGCGAUGCAAGUCAGAAGUGAAAGCCCGGGGCUCAACUCCGGGACUGCUUUUGAAACUGUAUGGCUAGAUUGCAGGAGAGGCAAGUGGAAUUCCUAGUGUAGCGGUGAAAUGCGUAGAUAUUAGGAGGAACACCAGUGGCGAAGGCGGCUUGCUGGACUGUAAAUGACGCUGAGGCUCGAAAGCGUGGGGAGCAAACAGGAUUAGAUACCCCAGUAGUC
This 443-nucleotide ribosomal RNA is filed under the name uncultured bacterium. RNAcentral describes it as "partial 16S ribosomal RNA". It matches the Rfam family "Bacterial small subunit ribosomal RNA", at positions 338 to 795 of the family's 1533-position model. The record is from RNAcentral.